AGAUUCGCCUUUAGGAGGGGGAUAACGGAUGGCUUCAUUCGCUAAAACCCCAUAUGCCCCUGGGUGAAACAGAGGAGAUAAGUAAUACUGACUCUUACCUCUGCCUGAAGAGAAGCUCGCGGCUGAUUAGCUAGUUGGUAGGGUAAAGGCCUACCAAGGCGACGAUCAGUAGCUGGUCUGAGAGGACGAUCAGCCACACUGGAACUGAGACACGGUCCAGACUCCUACGGGAGGCAGCAGUGAGGAAUUUUCUGCAAUGGGCGAAAGCCUGACAGAGCAAUACCGCGUGAGGGAUGAAGACUUACUGAGUUGUAAACCUCGGUACCUUAAGGAAGAAGAUCUGACGGUACUUAAGGUGGAAAGCAUCGGCUAACUCCGUGCCAGCAGCCGCGGUAAGACGGGGGAUGCAAGUGUUAUCCGGAUUUACUGGGCGUAAAGCGUCUGCAGGUGGUUUUCUAAGUCUACUGUUAAAUCUUGAGGCUCAACCUCAAAUCUGCAGUAGAAACUAGAAGACUUGAGUAUAGUAGGGGUAGAGGGAAUUUCCAGUGGAGCGGUGAAAUGCGUAGAUAUUGGAAAGAACACCGAUGGCGAAGGCACUCUACUGGGCUAUUACUGACACUCAGAGACGAAAGCUAGGGGAGCAAAUGGGAUUAGAUACCCCA
This 662-nucleotide ribosomal RNA is filed under the name uncultured bacterium. RNAcentral describes it as "bacterial SSU rRNA". It matches the Rfam family "Bacterial small subunit ribosomal RNA", at positions 122 to 789 of the family's 1533-position model. The record is from RNAcentral.